AUCCCUCAAAGACUCUAUUGGGGUGGUUCGAUAUUUUGAAUUAAGGAUUUGUGGGUGCUGGUCAGCUGGGGAUGGGGAACCAGCAUCAGUGAGGCACCAUCUUCUAGGAAGUUCGUUUAGGGGUCAGCACACAGAGGCUGUGGUCCGGAAGUGGCCACAGCUCUACCUUACGCUGGCAGCUGAACUCGGUAGUGUGUAAGAGUCAGCCAGGUGGUGCUGGUUUUAGGAGGCAUGAAGUGGGCAUGGAGAGCAGCAGAGGCUUGGCAGUGUGUGGCAGGUCUGGAGUCCCUGAAGAGAGGUCGGAAGAUGCCAUGAAUGUCAGUGCAGCCUGUGCUGCAGUCAAAGCCCCAGGACUGAAGGACAGAGAAAGGCUGAGUCUUGUCAUCAUGCGGCAGGACCAGAGUCCCCGAAGGAAGCUUAGGAGAGGCUGUGGGGUGGAAGGUGCAGCCCAGCUGCAGAUAAAGAACCCAUGUUUUGGCAAUACCAGUAUCAUGGGACAAUCACAGCUGAAGCCACCGAGCAGAGCGAGCCUGAGCGUAGGAGACACUAAGUAAGCCGUGGCAAGCCCUUUGCAUCUAGAAGACCCUGAGCCCCAGACGCUGGACACUGAGCUGUUUCACAGUGUUGGAGUUUGCCUUGUUCAGAUGGUCACUGGUCUCUGAUGCUUCCCUUUGAGAGCUAGAAAGUGUGUAACUUAUAUGAUUCUGUUACAGAAGCCCACAGUUGAGAGAGUUUGGAAUUUUAGAGAGACUCCAAUUCUAAAGAGACUUUGGAUAUUGUAAAAACACUGAAUUUUUAAAGUGUGUGGGACUUCUAAAGUUAUUUAUGUUUAUAUUGUGAUAUUAAUGCUAUCUUGAGGUUUUUUUUUGUCAACCUGAUGCAAACUUAUCUCGGAGAAGAAGUCUUAAUUGAGAAAAUGCCUCCAUAAGAUUGACGGUAGUCCUGGGGUGUAAAACAAAACAAACUGAGACAGCGGGGAGGAGCAAGCCAGUAAGCAGCACGCAUCCACGGCCGCCACAUCAGCUCCUGCCUCCAGCUUCUUGGUUCUUGCCCUGAUUCCUCAGCGAUACACUUCACUAUGAAGCUAAAAAGUCAUCAACUUUCUUCAGGUAUCCUUGUGGAAAUUCAGGCUUUGCUUUUGAGCCCUCGUAUGUACUCGACAGCUCGGGGACUUUCAAACACGCCUCCAAGUACCAAUUGUCAGGCUUCCCAGUCAGAGGAAGGCCCUGUGUGACACAGCCGGGCAUACAAGGUCCUAGGAUUAGAGUCCCACGAUUCUCGCAAGGCUCUGAGAAGGGUGUAGUGGGUGAGCUACUGCCCUGGCUCAGAUCACAUGAUUCUUUGAGGGGAGCUCAGCCCUGAUCAUCCUGCCUGACCAGAUUUCAUUCCCCUUCUGUUUCACUGUCUUCGAAGGAAGAAAAUGCCGGUCAUCCUCAACUAACUCCUACAAUCUGAAGACCUGCACUCAAACACUGGCACUGUAUCCUUGUUCUCAUUAAACAAGUGUUUUGCUUGAACGCAUGUAUGUGCCUGGUGCCUGCAGAGGCCAAGAGAGGGUUCUGAUAUCCUCGGAACUGAAGCGACAGGCAGUGGUGAGCCACCGUGUGGGUGCUGGGGAUUGAACCUGGGUCCACUCCAGUGAGUACUCUCACCCACUGUCUCUCUAGUAUUGAUGUUUACAGUGCGGACGUGAGAAGGUACACUUGAGCAUGGCAUGAGACGCUCGGCUAACACGGACCCUAGAGCUGGAGAGACAGACGCUCGGCUAACACGGACCUGAGAGGCGGUGGUGCAGCCUGGGCUGAACAUUCCCUGUCAGCGGGUCUUCCCAGCUCCACUCAAGCUCCUAUGUUCUGUCUGAAAAGCACCUUCUGCCAUCCUUACCAUCCCCGACUCAGGACCUGGAGUAGGCUUCCUCUAAGGUUUCUUCUCAACCCUGGGAUGCUGCACAACGUCUGGAAGUGAUUCAUACAAGCUUGAUGAACAUUCAAAUGGAUUGGGUUGCACCAGCUUCCCACAUUCCUUCCCACUCUCUGAGUCAGAAGACGGACUUUUCCACAGAAAGUUCCCGCAGGACCCAGGCUGUCCAGCGUGACUCACUGUGGUCACCCUGUGACCUACUUUCCACUGUGAGCUUUGGCACAGUGGAUUCCCAUGACACUCCUCUGUCACCACCGCCACCUCCUCUCGAGAAUCGAGGCUCAGUGAAGCAAGCUGGUGCGGGCAAUGCUGAAUUUGGCAACUAUGGUUUUGGGUGUGGAUGGAGGGGUUGAAGGGAAAGGCGGACCCCUCAGCUCCCCAGAGCUCCCUGGAUUGCUCCCAGCUAGGCUAAGGUUGCUUCUGCAAGUGGAGCUCUGGGAAGAAGGGAGCUGUGGGUGGGGUGAGCAGCUCUUCUAAGGCUGGGAAUGCAUAGGGGUGAGUCUAGAGCCAGAUCCAAAAUGCCUGCUUCUGAGCUGGUGGCUUGCCACUAGGAAAACUAAACAUUUUCCUCUGAUCAUUUGAAA
Molecule: long non-coding RNA, 2504 nt
Organism: Mesocricetus auratus (golden hamster)
Lineage: Eukaryota; Metazoa; Chordata; Mammalia; Rodentia; Cricetidae
Exons: 7
Source: RefSeq, a predicted model, not a curated record